ACGAACGCUGGCGGCGUGCUUAACACAUGCAAGUCGAACGCUGAAGCCUAGCUUGCUAGGUGGAUUAGUGGCGAACGGGUGAGUAAUACGUGAGUAACCUACCUUUAACUCUGGGAUAAGCCUGGGAAACUGGGUCUAAUACCGGAUACGACCAAUCUCCGCAUGGGGUGUUGGUGGAAAGCGUUAUGUAGUGGUUAUAGAUGGGCUCACGGCCUAUCAGCUUGUUGGUGAGGUAACGGCUCACCAAGGCGACGACGGGUAGCCGGCCUGAGAGGGUGACCGGCCACACUGGGACUGAGACACGGCCCAGACUCCUACGGGAGGCAGCAGUGGGGAAUAUUGCACAAUGGGCGCAAGCCUGAUGCAGCGACGCCGCGUGAGGGAUGACGGCCUUCGGGUUGUAAACCUCUGUUAGCAGGGAAGAAGAGAAAUUGACGGUACCUGCAGAGAAAGCGCCGGCUAACUACGUG
This 470-nucleotide ribosomal RNA is filed under the name uncultured bacterium. RNAcentral's name for it is "partial 16S ribosomal RNA". It matches the Rfam family "Bacterial small subunit ribosomal RNA", at positions 29 to 507 of the family's 1533-position model. The record is from RNAcentral.